CGCUAAUCAACUUGAUCUCACCUUCAGGGUAAAUUUUAAUUAUCUUAAAAUAAAAUUAUUAAUGUGAAUAUAUAAAUCAGAAUUUUACCGCAACAAAAAAAAAACAACAUUAGAUUAAUUGGAGUUGGAGUAAUAAUUUAUCAGUUACCAUUAAUAUAUUCAUAAGAUUUUACCUAUAAUAAUCUUAUAGGUACUUUUGCAUAGAACUUAGGGCCCGUUUGGCCAUAAAAAAAAAUUCACUACAUUUUUUCGGAAUCAUGAAAAUUUCAAAUUUUUUGAAUUUCGGAGUUUUUUUUUGGAAAUUUGAAAAACUCAGCUCUAGUCAAUAUCUUUUUCACUUAAUUUUUUUUUUUCAUUUUUCCCGGAAUUUUACGAUUCUAAUGUCCAAACACAUUUCUACAAUGCAGAGCUUCUUCCUAGCUGGAAACCCACAGCGUGGAGUACAACAACAAUUCGUAGGAAGACAACAAGAAACAACAAUGCAAGAAAGGAGAUCAGAACAAGAGACAACAUCUAAAGGAGGCAACAUUUUCAACGGUUUCGACACUGAGAUUUUGUCGGAAGCAUUCAACGUCGACGUCGAAACCAUAAGGAGACUUCAAGGACAGAACGAAGAGAGAGGUGUAAUUGUGAGAGCAGAAGAGCUUCGUUUAACUCUACCUGAAGAAUCUGAACAAGAAGAACGAAGGGAACAACAACAAAGAGAAGGAGGAAGAUGGCCAUUGAAUGGGUUGGAAGAAACAAUAUGUACAAUGAAGUUCAGGGAGAAUAUUGGUCAUCCUUCUAGAUCUGACGUGUACAAUCCACGUGGAGGACGCGUCAGCACUGUUAACAGCUUGAGUCUUCCUAUUCUUAACUUUCUCCAACUCAGUGCUGAGCGAGGAACCCUCUACCGGGUACGUAUAUGUAGGCAAAUUUAUAUACUAGCAGUAGUAGUAGUAUACUAUUUUCCAAAUUUUCUUGCUUAUAUAAAAAUAAUUUUGUCGCAUUUAACAACCUUACUUUAACAAAAUAUUUGAUAUUCUGGAACAACAAGAAAUUCUUUAACUUGUUUUAAAUAUGCCCUUACUAUUUACUACUGCUCAAAUAAGCAACGGUUGUUUCCCAAUGACCGGAACAAUAAGAAAUUCUUUAAAUUGUUUUAAAUAUGUCCUUACUAUUACUCAAAUAGGCAAUGGUAAAGUUAUCGUGACUGAUUUCUGGAACAACAAGAAAUUCUUUAAAUUGUUUUAAAUAUGUCCUUACUACUCAAAUUAGUGACUCUUAAUUAAGUGUUGGAGUUGUUUCCCGUAACCUACAGCUCACGCUAGAAGCAUUUAAUAUUUAUUUACAUCACACCCUAGGGUUAAGGCUUUUCCACAUAGGGUUAAUUGUGCACAGAGGUGCUCUGCCCUUUUAGUUUUCCAAAUGCAAACAAAGUUUCUAGAGACAUAUGGAAAAAAAGGAAAAGUUUGACAAAUUCAGGGAUGGUGGAGCAGAAUUUUAGAGGAAUUUUUCAAAAGAUGACUGACCCUUCCUUCGCAUAAUUAAAUUUUUUAUAUCAUUAGCUACAUGUGAAAUGUAAACAUGUGGAUAACUAGCUCUAUGUUGCUUGGCUUUGCAGAAUGCAAUAGUUGCACCACACUGGAACAUGAACGCCCACUCUAUCAUCUACAUCAUCAGAGGAAGCGGCCGAAUUCAGGUGGUGGGAAACGCGGGACGAUCAGUAUUCGACGACGAAGUCAGAGAGAAUCAGCUACUAAUUGUGCCACAGAACUUUGCCAUAGUGAAGAGAGCAGGCAAUGAAGGACUAGAGUACAUUGCUUUUAAGACUAAUGACAAUGCAAUGGUUAACCCACUGGCUGGAAGAUUAUCAGCACUUAGAGCAAUGCCAGAGGAAGUGUUAAUGAACUCUUACCAAAUUUCUAGGCAAGAAGCUAGGAGUUUGAAGUAUAAUAGGGAGGAGUUGACUGUUUUUGGACCAGGGUCUAGAUCUAGCAGGAGAGAAGAAUAUGCUUAGAAAAUGGAAAUAAGUGUAAUGUAAUGUUUGAAUCUUAUGUUGUGUUUUGCUAUGUUUUAAGUUGGGCCUUGUAUUAUAAGAGAAUAAAAUGGCUGAGAGUCUGGUUUUAAGAACUUGUACUGCGGAAGUUCUUGUGUUUAAAUUAUGAGUUAAUUACAUGAAUCACCAAUAAAAGAACUUUGAUUUCCUAAUGUUAUGAGCCAAGCGUACGUACCCUAUUUAGCAGUUCUUAUUUUCUAUACACAUCCAAAUUUAGGCUAUGCUGUCUCAGUUUUAUUAAAACGGCACAUCUCGAUUAUCGUGAGUUAAUAAAUUAAACUUUGAAGCUAAAUUGGAUAAGUUUAACUUAAUAUUUUAAAAUUAAAUUUUAAUAUAUAAAAAUUAUACGAAAAAUAUUACUAAGUUACACUCAUUUUUUAAAAUAUUGGUCAACUUUCACAUAGUUUAAAAAUAUGUUAUUUAAUUUGAAAUGGAGAGUGUAUUUUGAAACGGAGGGUGUAUUAGUUAAAAAAUUAGGCUAUUUUAGUUUAAAGUUUCUCCGAGUGCGAAGAACAUGACUCGGAGAACAUGAAGAUACGACAACAUUUAUUAAAUGUCAUAUUAAGCUUCUUAAAUUCGUUUAUUAAUAUUUAUUUUACAUACGACAUUUAUAAUCACUUUAGAAUGAAUUCCCUCAACUUCUAGACUAAAUCCUGCAAGAAAGCUUUUUGAAACCAUUUCUCCAUGAGUCAAGCUUUUCAUUGUCAGUAAUUCUCCUUCAAAAAUGUUGCACAAGAAGUCAUACAGGAAAAAAAAUUAUAACUAUAUAAUAAAUGGAAUUCUUUCCUCUUCGGUUAUAACAAAUUAGGAUACCAAAAAUAAUAGAUUGGGAUUCUAAAAAAUAAACAUACCUUAUAAUGGGUAUAAUAGCAGCAACUGAAAAUAGAAAAGAAAGAAAAUAAGGCAAAAGAAAAAGAGGAAAAAGUAUCUUAUAAUUUUUCAAAUGUACAAUUUUUUUGUUGUGCCUACUUCACUCAUUUCAGUCUUCUUGAUUGGGUUAACUUGAGGAGAAAUAUUAGAUUGGUUACUUUUAUAGUUUACAAAAUUCAAUAUUUAGCAAAUUAUAGAAUAAAAGAUACAAAAAUAAUAUAAAACCACAAAGAUUUUUCAUUUUAUAUUGAAAAAUACUUUGUUAAAUAUAGCUAAGGUAGCUUCAGACAACUUUUACGCCAUCAAAAUUCUUAUAGCGUAGUUUUUUGAACUUCUACCUCAACCCUUUAUCAAAAUCCCUUUACUCAGCCUGAGACUGUUUAUAUAUAGAGCCAUAAAUAAAAUUUGGAGUUGCUCCUUUUCCUAGAAUUCGAACAAACCCGAUGAGUAUCUGGUCGCAUAACUUGUGCAUAUAUAUUAUUGGGAGCACUUCCAGAGACAUUUAACUCAGAAUACACCUUAGCAAGUUAAUCAUUUCUUUCUUCUUCUUCUUUUAAAAGAACAGUAAAAUAAUGAAAAGUUAUAAUUUGUAGUGGUCACUUGCUAGCACUUGGUUCACUUCUUCAACCACCUAUAUCAUUAUAAAAUCAAUCUACAUAUUAACUUCGUGAACUACCAACGUAACUGAUCUAAACCGGCCGCAUUUGAUAAAUUUUUUCCUGUUUCAUUCCUCUAGAAUAUGAAGGUUGAUUCUUUGUUAAUCACUUCAGUAGUACUAAAAUGGAUCGGAAACUAGUUCUUCUUUCCAUGUUUGUCAUUAAACUUAUUUCUAAUAUAAUUUGGAAUGGGCAAAAGAAGCAUUUGAGUUGCUUGAAAAAUUAGCAAUUUAUUCUAUUUCACGUAGUGCUUUGCAAGCACUCACAAUACCUCAAAAGUAACUACCAGAAUAUUAUAUAUUAUCCAAUUACUUGGAAUAAAAAAAUUUAAUCUUGUUAAUGACUAUUUCUUGUAUCCAAUUCAAUUGAAACUCACUAAGUUAUCAAUAUCACUAUUUAACUCAAACAUAAUAAAUUAAAGAUACCCAUAUCAGAGGAGCAAUAAGAUAUACCUUGAAUUUAGAAUUAACAAUGGUUCGGACGAUUAUAUUGAUUAAAACACCUUGAAAUCUAGACAAUUUGUGGCUGAAAGUAACGUUUCUUGCGGCACCAAAGCUUCCGCCUAACUCUUCCUUCUCUAUUUUGCUCCACAAUUUGCAAGACCGAUACUUCCCUUAAUCCCCCUUCUAAUCUUAACGUCUGGUACAAAGUGGAUCCCGUUAUCUUCUCAAAUUUGAUAAUUCAAUUGUUGGUGUAUUUAGUUUCUUUCUUUGGGACUUGGUUGCGGGUGAAACCCUUUUUUUGUUGACUUUAUCAAGUCUUUCUCAUGGG
RNAcentral lists this long non-coding RNA (4335 nucleotides) under Nicotiana tabacum (common tobacco). RNAcentral describes it as "long non-coding RNA (NTAB_LNC003561)". Lineage: Eukaryota; Viridiplantae; Streptophyta; Magnoliopsida; Solanales; Solanaceae. The record is from RNAcentral.